This 274-nucleotide ribosomal RNA is filed under the name uncultured bacterium. Its description in RNAcentral is "partial 16S ribosomal RNA". It matches the Rfam family "Bacterial small subunit ribosomal RNA", at positions 523 to 796 of the family's 1533-position model. The record is from RNAcentral.
CUACGGAGGGUGCAAGCGUUACUCGGAAUCACUGGGCGUAAAGGACGCGUAGGCGGGUUGGCAAGUCAGAUGUGAAAUCCUACAGCUUAACUGUAGAACUGCAUUUGAAACUUCUAAUCUAGAGUAUGGGAGGGGGAGAUGGAAUUAGUGGUGUAGGGGUAAAAUCCGUAGAUAUCACUAGGAAUACCGAAAGCGAAGGCGAUCUCCUGGAACAUAACUGACGCUAAGGCGUGAAAGCGUGGGGAGCAAACAGGAUUAGAAACCCUAGUAGUCC